UGGCUGACUGAGGUUACCUUGUUACGACUUCACCCCAGUUAUCGGUCCCGCCUUCGGCAGCUCCCUCCUUACGGUUGGGUCACUGACUUCGGGCGUUACUGACUCCCAUGGUGUGACGGGCGGUGUGUACAAGACCCGGGAACGUAUUCACCGCGACAUUCUGAUUCGCGAUUACUAGCGAUUCCAGCUUCAUGUAGUCGAGUUGCAGACUACAAUCCGAACUGAGACGUUAUUUUUGAGAUUUGCACACACUCACAUGCUCGCUUCCCUUUGUUUACGCCAUUGUAGCACGUGUGUAGCCCUGGCCAUAAGGGGCAUGAUGAUUUGACGUCAUCCCCACCUUCCUCCAGGUUCUCCCUGGCAGUCUCUCCAGAGUG
RNAcentral lists this ribosomal RNA (377 nucleotides) under uncultured bacterium. Its description in RNAcentral is "partial 16S ribosomal RNA". The record is from RNAcentral.